GUGGGCAUAGCUGAGUGGUAGAGCGCAUGCUCAGCACCCACGAGGUCCUGGGGUCGAUCCCCAGUACCCCCA
RNAcentral lists this transfer RNA (72 nucleotides) under Camelus bactrianus (Bactrian camel). It matches the Rfam family "tRNA". Rfam says of the family: Transfer RNA (tRNA) molecules are approximately 80 nucleotides in length. Their secondary structure includes four short double-helical elements and three loops (D, anti-codon, and T loops). Further hydrogen bonds mediate the characteristic L-shaped molecular structure. tRNAs have two regions of fundamental functional importance: the anti-codon, which is responsible for specific mRNA codon recognition, and the 3' end, to which the tRNAs corresponding amino acid is attached (by aminoacyl-tRNA synthetases). tRNAs cope with the degeneracy of the genetic code in two manners: having more than one tRNA (with a specific anti-codon) for a particular amino acid; and 'wobble' base-pairing, i.e. permitting non-standard base-pairing at the 3rd anti-codon position. The record is from Rfam by way of RNAcentral. Lineage: Eukaryota; Metazoa; Chordata; Mammalia; Artiodactyla; Camelidae. RNAcentral also lists the same sequence under 1 other name.